GGGCGGUUAGCUCAGUUGGGAGAGCGCCACGUUCGCAACGUGGAGGCCGUGGGUUCGACCCCCAUACCGUCCA
This 73-nucleotide transfer RNA is filed under the name Nitrospirae bacterium GWA2_46_11. Its description in RNAcentral is "tRNA-Ala". It matches the Rfam family "tRNA". Rfam says of the family: Transfer RNA (tRNA) molecules are approximately 80 nucleotides in length. Their secondary structure includes four short double-helical elements and three loops (D, anti-codon, and T loops). Lineage: Bacteria; Pseudomonadati; Nitrospirota. RNAcentral also lists the same sequence under 3 other names. The record is from RNAcentral.